Molecule: ribosomal RNA, 406 nt
Filed under: uncultured bacterium
Lineage: Bacteria
Description: partial 16S ribosomal RNA
Rfam family: Bacterial small subunit ribosomal RNA
Source: RNAcentral
AUUGAACGCUGGCGGCAGGCCUAACACAUGCAAGUCGAACGAGUGGCGGACGGGUGAGUAAUGUCUGGGAAACUGCCUGGUGGAGGGGGAUAACUACUGGAAACUGUAGCUUAUACCGCAUACCCUCGGAUGUGCCCAGAUGGGUUUCGCGUGGGGGUGGUGUAACGGCUCACCUAGGCGACGAUCCCUAGCUGGUCUGAGAGGAUGACCAGCCACACUGGAACUGAGACACGGUCCAGACUCCUACGGGAGGCAGCAGUGGGGAAUAUUGCACAAUGGGCGCAAGCCUGAUGCAGCCAUGCCGCGUGUAUGAAGAAGGCCUUCGGGUUGUAAAGUACUUUCAGCGGGGAGGCGUUACCCGCAGAAGAAGCACCGGCUAACUCCGUGCCAGCAGCCGCGGUAAUAC